This 424-nucleotide ribosomal RNA is filed under the name Verrucomicrobiota bacterium. RNAcentral describes it as "Verrucomicrobia bacterium partial 16S ribosomal RNA". It matches the Rfam family "Bacterial small subunit ribosomal RNA", at positions 355 to 776 of the family's 1533-position model. Lineage: Bacteria; Pseudomonadati; Verrucomicrobiota. The record is from RNAcentral.
UGAGGAAUAUUGGUCAAUGGACGCAAGUCUGAACCAGCCAAGUAGCGUGCAGGAUGACGGCCCUAUGGGUUGUAAACUGCUUUUAUAUGGGGAUAAAGUGGGGAACGUGUUCCCUUUUGCAGGUACCAUAUGAAUAAGGACCGGCUAAUUCCGUGCCAGCAGCCGCGGUAAUACGGAAGGUUCGGGCGUUAUCCGGAUUUAUUGGGUUUAAAGGGAGCGUAGGCCGUUUGGUAAGCGUGUUGUGAAAUGUAGGAGCUCAACUUUUAGAUUGCAGCGCGAACUGGCAGACUUGAGUGCGCACAACGUAGGCGGAAUUCAUGGUGUAGCGAUGAAAUGCUUAGAUAUCAUGACGAACUCCGAUUGCGAAGGCAGCUUACGGGAGCGCAACUGACGCUAAAGCUCGAAGGUGCGGGUAUCGAACAGG